RNAcentral lists this microRNA precursor (82 nucleotides) under Podarcis lilfordi (Lilford's wall lizard). The record is from RNAcentral. Lineage: Eukaryota; Metazoa; Chordata; Lepidosauria; Squamata; Lacertidae.
GCAAGGGCAGGCACAGGAGCCGCAGUUGGGAGAGGCGCUGCGCUGCGCCUCUCCCAACCGCAGCUCCUAUGCCUGCUCUUGC